Molecule: ribosomal RNA, 440 nt
Filed under: uncultured bacterium
Lineage: Bacteria
Description: partial 16S ribosomal RNA
Rfam family: Bacterial small subunit ribosomal RNA
Source: RNAcentral
CCUACGUGAGGCAGCAGUGGGGAAUAUUGCACAAUGGGGGAAACCCUGAUGCAGCGACGCCGCGUGAGUGAAGAAGUAAAUCGUUAUGUAAAGCUCUAUCAGCAGGGAAGAAAAUGACGGUACCUGAGUAAGAAGCCCCGGCUAACUACGUGCCAGCAGCCGCGGUAAUACGUAGGGGGCAAGCGUUAUCAGGAUUUACUGGGUGUAAAGGGAGCGUAGACGGCAGUGCAAGUCUGGAGUGAAAGGCGGGGGCUCAACCCCCGGACUGCUCUGGAAACUGUACGGCUGGAGUGCAGGAGAGGUAAGUGGAAUUCCUAGUGUAGCGGUGAAAUGCGUAGAUAUUAGGAGGAACACCAGUGGCGAAGGCGGCUUACUGGACUGUAACUGACGUUGAGGCUCGAAAGCGUGGGGAGCAAACAGGAUUAGAUACCCCUGUAGUC